RNAcentral lists this ribosomal RNA (460 nucleotides) under uncultured bacterium. Its description in RNAcentral is "partial 16S ribosomal RNA". It matches the Rfam family "Bacterial small subunit ribosomal RNA", at positions 338 to 795 of the family's 1533-position model. The record is from RNAcentral.
CCUACGGGGUGCUGCAGUGAGGAAUAUUGGUCAAUGGGCGGAAGCCUGAACCAGCCAAGUAGCGUGCAGGAUGACGGCCCUACGGGUUGUAAACUGCUUUUAUACGGGAAUAACGCGCCUUACGUGUAGGGCUUUGCAUGUACCGUAUGAAUAAGGACCGGCUAAUUCCGUGCCAGCAGCCGCGGUAAUACGGAAGGUCCGGGCGUUAUCCGGAUUUAUUGGGUUUAAAGGGAGCGUAGGCCGCAUGUCAAGCGUGCUGUGAAAUGUCCGGGCUCAACCCGGGCCUUGCAGCGCGAACUGGCGUGCUUGAGUGCGCGAGAAGUAUGCGGAAUGCGUGGUGUAGCGGUGAAAUGCAUAGAUAUCACGCAGAACUCCGAUUGCGAAGGCAGCAUACCGGCGCGCAACUGACGCUCAUGCACGAAAGCGUGGGUAUCGAACAGGAUUAGAUACCCGGGUAGUC